AACAGAAUAAGUCAUGACUUCCUGAGUUAGGCCUGGUACACACAUUUUUCCACUCAAAUGUAUUUAUUUUUUUAAUCUCCUACAGACCCCACACAAAGAUAAAAAAAUCAGCCAUUCAACAGUUUUGGUCAUAGCGUGUGGCGUGCUCCGAGAAUCUCAAAACAGCAGACCACACACAAAGAUUGUGUUGCACUGCCAAUCUCUAAGUCUUGCGUGAUGACACAUGAUCUCACAAAACUGAUGAAAAAGAAAGAUUUCUGGUUUGGCGCCGAUGUUUUCUGAACGUUGCUGAAGGUUGCUGGAGUAGAGAGCCAUUGUAAAAUGGGAAUGUUCUCAAAAAACGACUUGCUUUGGAAAAGACCUCUUGCCGUCGAGGGAACCCACUUUUAUACAAAAAAACGACAUCGGUUUGGUUCCCAGUUUCGAUGCCUAGUCCUCCAGCAGCGAAGAAGAAGUGGCGAAAAGCAACGAAGAAGCGGCGUAAACCAACGAAGAAGAAUGGGAUGAUGACGUGCUUGUGCCCAACGGCAGCGGCAGCGAACAAAGGGUGUCUUAACUUUGUUAAAAUGAAUGAUCAGUCGCCUCAGCCUACACCGCGUGGAGCUUCAGUGAAAUCAACUUUCAGUCAAUUGGUGAAGUCGUGACCUUCGAUCCCUUGGCGGCACUGCAUCAAAAACCGACAUCAAUCUGGAAAGGAUAUCACCACAUGGGCUCAGGAACACUUCAGAAAACCAAUGUCAGUAAAUACAGUUCGGCGCUACAUCCGUAAGUGCAACUUGAAACUCUACUAUGCAUAGCAAAAGCCAUUUAUCAACAACACCCAGAAACUCUGCCGGCUUCUCUGGGCCCGACCUCAUCUAAGAGGGAUUGAUGCAACGUGGAAAAGUUUUCUGUGGUACGACGAGUCCACAUUUCAAAUUCUUUUUGGAAAUUGUGGACGUCGUGUCCUCCGGGCCAAAGAGGAAAAGAACCAUCCGGACUGUUAUGGACGCAAAGUUCCAAAGCCAGCACGGGUAUCUUGCACAUCUGUGAAGGCACCAUUAAUGCUGAAAGUUUAACUCGACGUUCCAACUUCAUUGGACUUGGGGUUGCAGUUGGAACACAGCCUCAGGAACCCCUUCUUAAAAAGGGAGCCCACCACCCCAGUCUGCCAACCCAGAGGCACUGUCCCAGAUGUCCACGCAAUGUCGCAGAGGCGUCUCAACCAGGACAACCCUAUAACAUCCAGAGCCUUCAGGAACUCCGGGCAGAUCUCAUCCACCCCUGGGGCCUUGCCACAGAGGAGCUUUUUAACCACCACUGUGACUUCAACCCAAGAGAUAAGGGAACCAACCUCAGAGUCCCCAGACUCUGCUUCCUCCUGGGAAAGCGUGUCGGUAGAAUUGAGGAGGUCUUCAAAGUAUUUGGCCCACCGAUUCACAAUGUCCCGAGUUGAGGUCAGCAGUGCCCCAUCCCCACAAUACACAGUGUUGAUGGUGCACUGCUUCCACCUCCUUAGACGCCGGAUGGUGGAUCAGAAUUUCCUCAAAGCCGUCGGGAAGUCACUUUUCAUGGCCUCACCGAACUCGCCACCCCUGGGUUUUUAAAUCAGCGACCACUAAAGCUGCGUUCCCCUUGGCCAGCCAGUACCAAUCAGCUGCCUCCGGAGUCCCAUAGGCCAAAAAGGCCUGAUAGGACUCCUUCUUCAGCUUGACGGCAUCCUUUACUGCUGGUGUCCCCCAACAGGUUCAGUGAUUGCCGCCACGACAGGCACCAACCACCUUCCAGCCACAGCUCCUGUAGGCAGCCUCAACAAUGGAGGUGUGGAACAUGGUACCCUCGGAAACAAUGUCCCCCGCCUCCCCUGGGACGUGGGUGAUGUUCUGCUGGAGGUGGGAGUUGAGACUCCUUCUGACAGGGAACUCUCCCAGACCUUCCCAGCUGAACCUCACAAUAUGUUUGGGUCUGCCAGGUCGGACUGGCAUCUUCCCCCACCAUUGGCGCCAACUUACCACGAGGUGGUGAUCGGUUUCG
Phyllopteryx taeniolatus (common seadragon) is the source of this 2013-nucleotide long non-coding RNA. RefSeq lists it as uncharacterized. The transcript is spliced from 4 exons. NCBI's taxonomy places the organism in Eukaryota, Metazoa, Chordata, Actinopteri, Syngnathiformes, Syngnathidae. The record is from RefSeq and is a predicted model, not a curated record.